AGGAGCCGAGUGCGCUAAUCGUGCAUGCUCGGAUCUGUGGGGGGCCGGAUCGAGCAAUCGCCCGGUCUACCCGAC
RNAcentral lists this unclassified non-coding RNA (75 nucleotides) under Vreelandella aquamarina. The record is from RNAcentral. Lineage: Bacteria; Pseudomonadati; Pseudomonadota; Gammaproteobacteria; Oceanospirillales; Halomonadaceae.